ACAGGCAUGAUAUCUCAGGCAAAAAUUAGUCUAAGAUGAGAUAUACUGUCUUUCCAUGCAGGAUGAUAAGAUAUCUUGUCUUAGAUUGUUUAUUGCGCACAUCGGGGGAUCGUGAAGAUUUUAUUGGUGAGUAAGUAUACUCGGAAGGGCAAUGAUGAAUAUUAAAUAAUCGGACAUAGUACGAUAAGGUUGUAUGUCUAAAGGGAAACAGCCCAGAACAAGAGUUAAGGUUCCUAAAUUAAUGUUAAGUGAAAUUAAGGUAGUUUCUAUUAAAUACGACUAGAAAGUAGGCUUAGAAGCGGCCAUUUUUUGAAGACCUCGUAACAGAGCACUGGUUUAGUAAGUAGUUCACUAUUUACAUUGAUAGAAGCACCGAAAAUAUAUCGGAUCUAAACAAUAUACCGACACCUUGUUCAUAUUUAUAAAUAAAAAAAAAAAAAUAAAGCUGAUAAUGCAUGCUGAUCUUCUAUAAAAAUUUUAAGGGGAAAAUCCUUUUUUUCGUCGGCUGCACAGCGCGCAGCUAGCUAGCUAAUAUUAUUAGUUUUUAUUAUAAAUAAGAGGUAGCAAAACGUUAGGUAGAUCUCACGAUUUAAUCUUUUCAAGAUUAAAAAAGAUAGAAUAUCCUAAGUGAUAAGGCUGACAUGAGUAACGAUAAAGGGGCUGCUUUCGAA
RNAcentral lists this ribosomal RNA (671 nucleotides) under Cyclaneusma minus. RNAcentral's name for it is "partial large subunit ribosomal RNA". The stretch from base 62 to 425 matches the Rfam family "Bacterial large subunit ribosomal RNA", at positions 865 to 1226 of the family's 2925-position model. Lineage: Eukaryota; Fungi; Ascomycota; Leotiomycetes; Marthamycetales; Marthamycetaceae. The record is from RNAcentral.